UACGGAGGGUGCAAGCAUUAAUCGGAAUUAUUGGGCGUAAAGGGCGCGUAGGCGGGAAUGGAAGUCAGAUGUGAAAUGCCGAGGCUCAACCUCGGAACUGCAUUUGAAACUCCAUUUCUAGAGGAUAGGCGGAGAAAGCGGAAUUCCACAAGUAGCGGUGAAAUGCGUAGAUAUGUGGAAGAACACCUGUGGCGAAAGCGGCUUUCUAGCUUAAACCUGACGCUAAUGCGCGAAAGCAAGGGGAGCAAACAGG
This 253-nucleotide ribosomal RNA is filed under the name uncultured bacterium. Its description in RNAcentral is "partial 16S ribosomal RNA". It matches the Rfam family "Bacterial small subunit ribosomal RNA", at positions 524 to 776 of the family's 1533-position model. The record is from RNAcentral.